UAUUUUUUACUUUCCAACUUUAAAACCAAGUUUGUUCACCUGCCUCUGAACUGAGUAGCAGCAGCAUGUUUAACUGUUUUCUGGGUUUUUUUCGCCUCCGCUGCAGGAACAGCAUCAGCACCGGGCGCCGCCGGCUUGUCACCGGUCUCCUCGUCUCCUCCUCCUUGCAGCUGAGGAGACGACUCAAACCUCCCACCAGUCCUCUCACCCGCAGACAGCUGUUUCAGCCUCUCUACUUUUGCACUUGCUUUUUAACCGAGCUUUAUCGGCUCCUCGCGCUCGCCGGACUCCCUCGACUCUCACAGGGAAUCAACACAUAGACAAGCAGGAGAUUCAAUCAACACUUGGUGGGGAGGCAAAGUGAGACAGAGGGAGGAGAAGGGCAGGUGGAGAAGACGGAGUUGAUUACCGGCGGAGUUUAGCGGCACCAUUCCUCUUCCGCAGCCACCGGGACGACUCAUCCGUCUUCUCACACUCGCACUGUUGUGCAUGCAUAAUGAGCCAGCGCUGACGAACAGAGGGAUGAAUUUCAUAAAUCAUGCUCUUGUUUGUAACAGCUUUUCUCUCUCUUUCCCCUGUCUCUUUUUCCCUUUCAAUUAAAGCAGCAGAACCCAUUCUAAACGUUGAGUGCCUGGAGACAUACAGUCCAAGUAAAUUAUUUCCUGUAUAGUUUUCCGAUUUGAGGCAAUUUUGCUGCCCCUCUCCCGAUAUCCUCCUCACUAUAUCUGUCAAAUGACACUCAAUCUGAGUCUUUUAUAUCUGUUGACUUUCAAAAUAAUAAGCACCAUAAAAAAAGAAAUACACACAUAGUAUGAGGACACUGGUGGGAGGGAACUAUAACAUCUGUAGAUGGUUCUGUGUUGUGAAAUAGAGCCUGGGUAUUGGUUAUGACACUGUAUAUCUACUAGACGAAUAGAAACAAAUGUGACAAACCCACAAACACAGACAUGCAAAUGCUGUGCACGUAAAUGAAAAUUGCAACCCAAGCUUAUCAUUGGUGUAAUACAGUUUUUAUUACUCACUGCUCUCUGUGAUUGGAGA
Betta splendens (Siamese fighting fish) is the source of this 1041-nucleotide long non-coding RNA. RefSeq lists it as uncharacterized. Lineage: Eukaryota; Metazoa; Chordata; Actinopteri; Anabantiformes; Osphronemidae. The transcript has 3 exons. The record is from RefSeq and is a predicted model, not a curated record.